GUAAAAUAUAAAAAAGUGGCAGCUUAGAUUUACCCAGGUUAUUCUACUGUCCAGAAGAAUCCAGUGGAUCCUCAUUUUGCUGUUAAAAAUACAGAUACAACUUUAGACAUCACAUGAUUGAUUUCUACCUGAGUUUUCCACUGAAUUUAUCUGUAAAACUUAACUCCCUUCUUCACCCUUACUUGAAAGUUGUUCAUUUUCCUUUAACUUUAAUUCAUCAGACUCGAGAGACUUUGGAAGUACUGAAGAAUCCUCGACCCUGUCUUUCAGUGUCUCAUCGAUUGGCUCGUCUUUCUGUGUCUCAUCAAUUGGCUCUCCUGCUGAGGCAGCUUCAGAUUCGGUGUUGAAUUCAAACUCAGGGGGCAGAGUUUGUUCUUCAUUGUUGGGCAAUGGAGGAGAUGGAUUGUCAAUGCCUGAUCCUUUAGCAAGGCAAAUAUACUUGAUAACUAGGCGCUUGUAAUUGGUUAGCAGUUCUUCGAUAUCACCCACUGUUAGAUCACCAGCCUGGGAAUAUAGGUAGGGGAAACUUUGGAACACUUGGCUGAUGCUAUCCUCCUUGAUAAGCAUACUAGCCCCUCUGUGUUCUAAGUCCGACAGUGACGGGAUCUUUUCCAUUGAUGACUGACUUUUAGAAUACUGAUCCUCGUUCUUAAUGUUUGUUUCUGUUGAUGCAACUGAGAGAUUUGGCUGCGUAGCAGGGUGUGGAGGCCUAUUUGACCUAAAACUUUGUUUGGCAUCAGAAGUGUCUGCACCAGGAACAGGUCCAGCGUUCUGAUCACUCUGGUCCAGUACAUUGUUGUCGGCUGAAAGACCAGAAAGAAGUGCUCGAGCAGACUCCAUAUUUGUUUCAAACUCGGUCUCAUCCAUAGAAAGAGCUCGUGCAUCAAUAUUUGAAAUGAAAGAUUCUGCAGAAAGAAUGUUUGUGAAGAAGUAUGCCGCUUCAGAAACCAGGCGUGUUUGCCGCCUAAACCUUUGUAUAUACAGCAGAUUUGAGUGCAGCUGAGGGGGGUUAGCCUUUAUGGUGACAUAUAUGAGAACGGGAAGAAAAUCAUCGGCUCCUGGAGGGUUAUCCUUUGCUGAAACAGAAGUCAGGAUAUUAUUGAUAACCUUGCAACAAUUAAGAAUACACACAAGUUUGUCUCUUGGUGCCCUGUACAUAUUUAUCUUUUGUAGCUCCUUCUGUGCAAGCAACCAUGACGAUUCAUUUUGAAAUGUUGGCUUGAUAUCCAAAUUCUCAGGCCUAACAAAUUGUUGAAUCAAAGCAAUUUUCUCAUGAAGCUGUUCAUCGACUUUCACAUCUUCAGGAAGUGAAGCAAAUGUACGUGUAAAUAGCUUCGUCAUGACAUACUUCUCAAGUCCUUCACCAGCGCUCUCCAACUCCUCCUCAGAACAUCCAGCCCAAAGUGAAUGAGCUCUAAAUGCUGUUUCCAUAUUUCCAAGGAAUUCCUGCACGGCUGCACUAUCCCUCUCUGCGUCUGGAACAUUGUUCAAAAAUGAUACAAUAAAACUUUUGAUGGAUUUGACGAACUCGGCAGCGCUUGGAUCACGCAUUCGCUGAAGGAAAUCAUGCCACGUCAAUGGUGCAGUAGACGAUCCUAAGACGUCGCUGUUCUCCAUUUUCAGAUCGACGGC
Molecule: unclassified non-coding RNA, 1632 nt
Filed under: Hevea brasiliensis (rubber tree)
Lineage: Eukaryota; Viridiplantae; Streptophyta; Magnoliopsida; Malpighiales; Euphorbiaceae
Source: RNAcentral